GACGAACGCUAGCGGCGUGCUUAAUACAUGCAAGUCGAGGGGCAGCAGCACUGUAUCGAUACAGUUGCUGGCGACCGACAAACGGGUACGGCACACGUACCCAACCUACCCCGAACUGGUGGCUAGCGCGGGCUGACGCGGAUUACUACUCCGUACUCUAACUGCAUGGCGUCACUUUAUUAGUUAAGCUGCGGCGGUUCGGGCUGGGCGUGCAGCUGAUUAGUGAGGUGGUUGAGGUAACGGCUGACCUAGCCGACGAUCAGUAAGUGGUGUGUGAGCAGGACGAGUCACACGGGCACUGGGACACUGGCGCGACUGCUACGGGAGGCAGCAGUACGGAAUAUAGGGGAAUGGAGGAAACUCUGACCCAGCCAAGCCGCGUGGAGGAAGAAGGCCCGCGGGGUUGUAAACUUCUUGUAGAGGGGACGAAACGUGUGUAUUGUUACGCAGUUGACGGUACCGUAUGAAUAAGCACCGGCUAACUCCGUG
RNAcentral lists this ribosomal RNA (489 nucleotides) under uncultured bacterium. Its description in RNAcentral is "partial 16S ribosomal RNA". It matches the Rfam family "Bacterial small subunit ribosomal RNA", at positions 28 to 507 of the family's 1533-position model. The record is from RNAcentral.